Molecule: long non-coding RNA, 740 nt
Organism: Alosa alosa (allis shad)
Lineage: Eukaryota; Metazoa; Chordata; Actinopteri; Clupeiformes; Clupeidae
Exons: 2
Source: RefSeq, a predicted model, not a curated record
UGACAGAGUGAAAGAUUAUGAACACAUGCUUCUGGACGUUUUCAGACGCCAGGUGCCUUUGCUAUUAGUGCCACUGCACUAUGCCACGCUCUGAGACGUGCUAAUAAUACGCUUGUGAGCUUCUGCGGCUAGGGCAGGGCUGGCCAGCUGCUGUCUCGGGUACGACAUGAGAGGAGAAGUGUAGGUGUGGGCGGAUGGGCUGUAUGAUUAGAGCUCCAAAGUGCCAUCAACACACCAUGGGAAAAUAAGCUCAUCAACACUGACACAUGCCAAGGCCCCACGGACAAACCUUUACCUUAGGUCUCUGAGCAACUCUGCUGCAAGACUGUUUGCAAAGCAUUCAGGAAUGAGUAUACAGACCAUCAUACGAUGAGACCUGUGGAGAAUUUUUCCCUGCUCCAGUGACUAGCCAGCUGAAUUAAAAAAAAAAAAAACAUGUUGCCUGCUGCCUGAGAUCACUGUCAGCAGGACACCGGUGGGGACAAGGCGCUUGCUAGCCGAGAGAUAAAAACAGCAUUAAUAAAAUGGCUGGAAACAGGUGUCUCCCUUUACCCCUUCAGCUCCCCCUGAGGCUGUUUAGCAGUCACCACUAUGCCUCUGUGUCUGGAGGAGGUGAGGUUAUCCCUACCCUUGAUAUGUGUGCGAGCUUUUUCACAAUGGGAAAGUGUGUGUUGCAUUUCUGAACAAUACUUGGAUACUGUGUUGGUAUUUUGCAAAUAACUACAUAUUAUCAAAUCCGA